RNAcentral lists this ribosomal RNA (301 nucleotides) under uncultured bacterium. RNAcentral's name for it is "partial 16S ribosomal RNA". It matches the Rfam family "Bacterial small subunit ribosomal RNA", at positions 509 to 808 of the family's 1533-position model. The record is from RNAcentral.
CAGUAGCCGCGGUAAUACAGAGGGUGCGAGCGUUAAUCGGAUUUACUGGGCGUAAAGCGUGCGUAGGCGGCUUUUUAAGUCGGAUGUGAAAUCCCUGAGCUUAACUUAGGAAUUGCAUUCGAUACUGGGAAGCUAGAGUAUGGGAGAGGAUGGUAGAAUUCCAGGUGUAGCGGUGAAAUGCGUAGAGAUCUGGAGGAAUACCGAUGGCGAAGGCAGCCAUCUGGCCUAAUACUGACGCUGAGGUACGAAAGCAUGGGGAGCAAACAGGAUUAGAUACCCGCGUAGUCCCUGUCUCUAUACA